UUUACACCGCCAUAUUGCACAGGAAUACGGAAUAAUCGGAAGACUUCUCGGUGGAGAUCGAACAUUAUUAUUCACAAUGAGCGAUGAUGACAGGGACAUCGACGUUGAGAGUGACGACGAAUUAAACGAUGGUGAACCGGACAAUCGCACACAGGGUGGAUGUCAGGCUGCCGGGGUGGAAUUCAGCCGGAAUUGCCAAUGGAAGUGGACGUACCUGCACAGUCGUGAGCUUGGAGACUGAAGCCUUGCCCUAUACAGUUGUGAACAUUUUUUUCAAUCAAGUUUUAGGGCCACUCGGUGUUAUUCCCAUUUGAAAUAUAAUCAGGGGCGGAUCCAGCAUUUCCCUACAGGGCCAGGGGGGCAUUUUGUAUAGGAAUUUUUUGACAAAAAGUCUUCACUGCCAAAUCAUAGUAAUUUGUUUCCCCCAGGAAAAAUUUGACAAGCAAAAAAAAAAAAGGUUCUCAGUUGCCUUUUGAGUACCUCUCAAGGGGGAGAGGCCGAAUGUGCAACCCCCCCCCCCUGAUUCGCCACUGGAACUAAUGUCCAUUUCAUUUAGUUUGUAAUUUUUUACAGGAGGAAAGAAUGGAGUAAGAAGUUUUGUGUUUUGUAUUUUUACCAAUUAUUGUUUAUUCAAAGUAAAACGUAUUUAAGUUAGUAUUGUUCCAAAAUGCAUCACUAAUCUUAAUUAACUUGUUUAAAUUUUAAAUGUAAGCCUGAAUAAUAAUGAAUUGUUAACUUUGAAUAAAUAGAAAUAUACAUGUAUAUGUCAUAUUCUGUAAAUUGUAAUAUUUUCAAAUCAUAUUUUAUCUCCAUUCUUAUCUAAUCAUUGUCUCCCUUUCUCAUUAUGUUCAUCACUCUUCAAUUAAAUUUAUAUUCUAUUACUGGUAUAAAAAAAAGCCAACAAUACUAAACACUGAUACAUCGAUCAAUAAAAAAAACAAAGAAAAAGAGGGAAAAUACAAAGAAAUGACAGGUACAUGGAGGGCCCAGGCCGGGGGUAACGACAAAUCAUGCUUGUCUGGGUAUUAAAAACAGGAGAAGGGUGGUCAAUACAAUAUUGCAAAUAGAAACUAUGAAGUGGGUUUUGUUUUUAUCAAAUAAUAUUUGCAGUUCCUUUGGAGUGAUGUUGUUUUUGUUUUUCUUUAAUAGAAUAUCACCCAUUCUAGAAAACUGAACUUUGUAUCUAACACUUAGUUGCCCUAGUGUUGUUUUCCAAUCUACAUUUUCUAGUUCCUGGUAUCAUGAUUAUGGAUGUAAUCAUUUAAGGUGUACCAGUUAGAAAAUUUUUGACUUUUUGUAUAUAUUUACAUAAAUUAUGCAAGUUGCAGGUCACGUGGUUGAUAAAUUGUUGACACAAGCAUUAGCUCUAUGAUCACCUUCUCAAUGACUCUUAAGACAAGCUUCUGUAACAAUAAAAUUAUUGUAUUUACUAGAUAAUUUG
Long non-coding RNA from Lytechinus pictus (painted urchin), 1441 nucleotides. RefSeq lists it as uncharacterized. The record is from RefSeq and is a predicted model, not a curated record. Lineage: Eukaryota; Metazoa; Echinodermata; Echinoidea; Temnopleuroida; Toxopneustidae. The transcript has 3 exons.